RNAcentral lists this ribosomal RNA (349 nucleotides) under uncultured fungus. RNAcentral's name for it is "bacterial SSU rRNA". It matches the Rfam family "Eukaryotic small subunit ribosomal RNA", at positions 28 to 371 of the family's 1831-position model. The record is from RNAcentral. Lineage: Eukaryota; Fungi.
AUGCUUGUCUCAAAGAUUAAGCCAUGCAUGUCUAAGUAUAAACAACUUUAUACUGUAAAACUGCGAACGGCUCAUUACAUCAGCAAUAAUUUAUUUGAUGAUUUCUUACUACAUGGAUAACUGUAGUAAUUCUAGAGCUAAUACAUGCGCAAAGUCCUGACUCGCGAGGGGAGGGAUGUAUUUAUUAGAUACAAAACCAAUGCGGGUUCUGCCCGCCAUUGUGUUGAAUCAUAGUAACUUAUCGAACGCCAUAGCCUUGUGCUGGGCGUAGAUCAUUCAAAUUUCUGCCCUAUCAACUUUCGAUGGUAAGGUAUUGGCUUACCAUGGUUACAACGGGUAACGGGGAAUA